UACGUAGGGGGCAAGCGUUGUCCGGAUUUACUGGGCGUAAAGAGCGUGUAGGCGGCCAAGCAGGUCCGUUGUGAAAACUCGAGGCUCAACCUCGAGACGUCGGUUGAAACCACCUGGCUAGAGUCCGGAAGAGGAGAGUGGAAUUCCCGGUGUAGCGGUGAAAUGCGCAGAUAUCGGGAAGAACACCCGUGGCGAAGGCGGCUCUCUGGGACGGUACUGACGCUGAGACGCGAAAGCGUGGGGAGCGAACAGG
This 253-nucleotide ribosomal RNA is filed under the name uncultured bacterium. Its description in RNAcentral is "partial 16S ribosomal RNA". It matches the Rfam family "Bacterial small subunit ribosomal RNA", at positions 524 to 776 of the family's 1533-position model. The record is from RNAcentral.